GUCUACAGCCAUGCCACUUUGAACGUGCCCGAUCCCGUCUGAUCUCGGAAGCUAAGCAGGGUCAGGCCUGGUUAGUAAUUGGAUGGGAGACCACCUAGAAUACCAGGUGCUGCAGGCG
This 118-nucleotide ribosomal RNA is filed under the name Pteropus alecto (black flying fox). The record is from RNAcentral. Lineage: Eukaryota; Metazoa; Chordata; Mammalia; Chiroptera; Pteropodidae.